AUGUGAGAUGCAGUGUAUGGAAUGUCAAAUUUCUAGUAUGAGAAAUUAACGAUUUAAGUCCUUCUUAAAUGAGGCCAUUUACCCAUAGAGGGUGCCAGGCCCGUAUAACGUUAAUGAUUACUAGAUGGCAUUUCCAAAGAGUCGUGUUGCUUGAUAGUGCAGCACUAAGUGGGUGGUAAACUCCAUCUAAAACUAAAUAUAACCAUGAGACCGAUAGUAAACAAGUACCGUGAGGGAAAGUUGAAAAGAACUCUGAAUAGAGAGUUAAAUAGUACGUGAAACUGCUUAGAGGUUAAGCCCGAUGAACCUGAAUAUCCAUUAUAGAAAAUUCAUCAUUAUGAUUUUAAUAUUAAUAAUAUUAUAAUAAUGGUGUGCAUUUUUUCUAUAACGGACAUUGUAAUCUAUUAACAUAAAUAUAUUUAUCAUAAGAUCAAUGAUGCGUAAGUUUAUUUAAAUUAUUUUGCUUGCAAUUUAACAUAGAAUAAAUGCUCUUGAUUUGAUAAAGUGUUGAUAGAUUUAUUGUAUAUAGUGCUUAAAUAUUUAUAUUUUAUAAUAGCAUAUUAAUCAUUGAUUUUUAUGUUUAUUAUAUGCACUUAUAUGAUUAACAAUGCGAAAGAUUCAGGAUACCUUCGGGACCCGUCUUGAAACACGGACCAAGGAGUCUAACAUAUUUGCAAGUUAUUGGGUAUCAAAACCUAAUAGCGAAAUUAACAUAACUUUAAUGGGAUUAGUUUUUAGAUUAUUUUUAUAGUCUAUUAAUUCAAUCCCGGGGCGUUCUAUAUAGUUAUGUAUAAUAAUAUUUAUAUUAUUUAUACCUCUAACUAGAGCGUACCUUGAGCAUAUAUGCUGUGACCCGAAAGAUGGUGAACUAUACUUGAUCAGGUUGAAGUCAGGGGAAACCCUGAUGGAA
RNAcentral lists this ribosomal RNA (910 nucleotides) under Sarcophaga porrecta. RNAcentral describes it as "eukaryotic LSU rRNA". It matches the Rfam family "Eukaryotic large subunit ribosomal RNA", at positions 136 to 872 of the family's 3401-position model. Lineage: Eukaryota; Metazoa; Arthropoda; Insecta; Diptera; Sarcophagidae. The record is from RNAcentral.